UUUCAGAGAAUUAAAUUUUAGUUUUUAAGAAUUUAUUUAAAAGUACAUCCAUGGAAAAUUCGAAAAGUUAAAUAGAUGGUUUAUUGUACCUUUUGUAGAAUGGUUUUAUCAUAAUACACUUAGUUAACAGUUCCCGAGAAAAGAAGAGCUAAGCAUGAACCUCUUUUAGAAGAAAAGAUAGUUGUGUAGAAAUACGGCGUGGAAGAUUUGUGCUUAGGGGUGAAAUGCCCUCAAUUCUUUAGAUAUCUGGAUGCUUCUGAAAGGCAUUUAGUGCCGCCUUUAAGGUUAAUUAUGAAACGUUGAGGUUUCAUAAAAAUAGGAUUUUUAGUCAUUUUAAGUAUUUUAGGAGGUAACAUCCAAAAAGUUUUUAUAAUUAAGGAUUAAUAUUUUAAAAAAUCUAUGAGAUAGGAAGCUAUUAAACCAAAUUUAGGGUUUAAGAAUAAAUGUAAAAAUGAGUAAUAAAAGGUUUUAUUUGAUUAAUAAACUUAAAAUGAUUUAAAUAAAAUAGUAAAAUUAAAGGGGUUUAAGGAACUCGGCAAGAAUUUGGCUUCGACUAGUUUAACAAAAACAUAGCCUAAAGUAUGUAUUUUAGGUGGAAUCUGCUCAGUGUACUUAUAUAAAUAGCCGCGGUACUUUGACCGUGCUAAGGUAGCGUAAUCAGUUGGCUUUUAAAUGGAGUCGGGUAUGAAUGAAAACACGGAGCUAAACUGUCUCAAAUCUCGUUUUAUUGAAUUUACUGUGUAGGUGAAAAAGCCUAUAGAAAUAUAAAAGAAGAGAAGACCCUUAGAAUUUUUACAAAAAUAGGUUUUUCCUAAAACGUUUUUGUUGGGGCAACAAGGAAACAAAAAACUUUCCUAAAUAAAAUGUGACGAUUAUAAUAAGAGUGGUUAAAUUACCUGAGGGAUAACAGCAUAAUUUUAUAAUUUAGUUUGUGACCUCGAUGUUGGACUAGGAAAUUGGUAGACUAGCCGUUUACUAUAUUGGUUCUGUUCGAACUUUGUUUUCCU
Molecule: ribosomal RNA, 1007 nt
Filed under: Pleurobranchaea meckeli
Lineage: Eukaryota; Metazoa; Mollusca; Gastropoda; Pleurobranchida; Pleurobranchidae
Description: large subunit ribosomal RNA
Rfam family: Archaeal large subunit ribosomal RNA (bases 481-758)
Source: RNAcentral